RNAcentral lists this ribosomal RNA (253 nucleotides) under uncultured bacterium. RNAcentral describes it as "partial 16S ribosomal RNA". It matches the Rfam family "Bacterial small subunit ribosomal RNA", at positions 524 to 776 of the family's 1533-position model. The record is from RNAcentral.
UACGUAGGGUGCAAGCGUUGUCCGGAAUUAUUGGGCGUAAAGAGCUCGUAGGCGGUCUGUCGCGUCGGCUGUGAAAACCCGGAGCUCAACUCCGGGCCUGCAGUCGAUACGGGCAGACUGGAGUUCGGCAGGGGAGACUGGAAUUCCUGGUGUAGCGGUGAAAUGCGCAGAUAUCAGGAGGAACACCGGUGGCGAAGGCGGGUCUCUGGGCCGGUACUGACGCUGAGGUGCGAAAGCGUGGGGAGCAAACAGG